This 253-nucleotide ribosomal RNA is filed under the name uncultured bacterium. RNAcentral's name for it is "partial 16S ribosomal RNA". It matches the Rfam family "Bacterial small subunit ribosomal RNA", at positions 524 to 776 of the family's 1533-position model. The record is from RNAcentral.
UACGUAGGGUGCGAGCGUUGUCCGGAAUUAUUGGGCGUAAAGAGCUUGUAGGCGGUUUGUCGCGUCUGCUGUGAAAAUCCGGGGCUCAACCCCGGACUUGCAGUGGGUACGGGCAGACUGGAGUGUGGUAGGGGAGACUGGAAUUCCUGGUGUAGCGGUGAAAUGCGCAGAUAUCAGGAGGAACACCGAUGGCGAAGGCAGGUCUCUGGGCCACUACUGACGCUGAGAAGCGAAAGCGUGGGGAGCGAACAGG